UGGCGAACGGGUGAGUAACGCGUGAGGAACCUGCCUCAAAGAGGGGGACAACAGUUGGAAACGACUGCUAAUACCGCAUAAGCCCACGACCCGGCAUCGGGUUGAGGGAAAAGGAGCAAUCCGCUUUGAGAUGGCCUCGCGUCCGAUUAGCUAGUUGGUGAGGUAACGGCCCACCAAGGCAACGAUCGGUAGCCGGACUGAGAGGUUGAACGGCCACAUUGGGACUGAGACACGGCCCAG
This 240-nucleotide ribosomal RNA is filed under the name uncultured bacterium. RNAcentral's name for it is "partial 16S ribosomal RNA". It matches the Rfam family "Bacterial small subunit ribosomal RNA", at positions 96 to 334 of the family's 1533-position model. The record is from RNAcentral.